AUGAGCCCAAAAGAGCAUGAUAUAUUGAAGGAGAAAGUGGAGGAAUUGCUGCAAAAGGGGCACAUUCGAGAAAGUAUUAGCCCAUGUGCUGUACCAGCCCUGCUCGCGCCAAAGAAAGAUGGGUCUUGGCGCAUGUGUACGGAUAGUAGAACCAUUAACAAGAUCACCGUAAGGUAUAGAUUCCCUAUUUCCCAUCUGGAUGAUAUGUUGGGCCAACUUAGUGGAGCAAGAGUGUUCACAAAGCUGGAUUUAAGAAGUGGAUAUCAUCAAAUCCGUAUUAGACCCGGGGAUGAAUGGAAAACAGCCUUCAAGACAAAAGAAGUGCUGUUUGAAUGGCUAGUCAUGCCAUUUGGGCUCUCAAAUGCACCAAGAACCUUUAUGCACUUGAUGAAUCUAGUCCUUCGACCCUUCUUAUCCCACUUUGUUGUGGUCUAUUUCGAUGACAUCUUGAUCUAUAGCAAAGAUGGGGAUGAACACUUUGAUCACAUUCCAAAGGUGCUAGAAGUACUAAGGGAAAAUGAGCUCUACGUCAACUUAAAGAAAUGUGUUUUCCUGCAAACACAACUUCUUUUCCUAGGAUUCAUCAUAGCAUGUGACGGUAUUCGUGUUGAUGACUCAAAGGUUGAAGCAAUCCGAGAAUGGCCAACUCCGAAGACCAUUUCUGAGGUAAGAAGUUUUCAUGGCCUUGCAACUUUCUAUAGGCGACCUGUGAAGAAUUUUAGCACUAUCAUGGCAUCAAUUACCGAGUGCCUGAAGAAAGGAAAGCUUCAAUGGACAGAGCGGCUGAAGCUAGUUUCAAUGAGAUUAAGCAAAAACUUCAGCAAGCUCCUGUAUUAG
RNAcentral lists this ribosomal RNA (837 nucleotides) under Triticum aestivum (bread wheat). Its description in RNAcentral is "partial small subunit ribosomal RNA". The record is from RNAcentral. Lineage: Eukaryota; Viridiplantae; Streptophyta; Magnoliopsida; Poales; Poaceae.